CAGCAGCCGCGGUAAUACGAAGGGGGCUAGCGUUGCUCGGAAUGACUGGGCGUAAAGGGCGCGUAGGCGGCGAUCAAAGUCAGGCGUGAAAUUCCUGGGCUCAACCUGGGGGCUGCGCUUGAUACUUGGUUGCUUGAGUGGGGAAGAGGGUCGUGGAAUUCCCAGUGUAGAGGUGAAAUUCGUAGAUAUUGGGAAGAACACCGGUGGCGAAGGCGGCGACCUGGUCCUUGACUGACGCUGAGGCGCGAAAGCGUGGGGAGCAAACAGGAUUAGAUACCCGUGUAGUCCCUGUCUCUUAUAA
RNAcentral lists this ribosomal RNA (301 nucleotides) under uncultured bacterium. RNAcentral describes it as "partial 16S ribosomal RNA". It matches the Rfam family "Bacterial small subunit ribosomal RNA", at positions 509 to 809 of the family's 1533-position model. The record is from RNAcentral.